This 904-nucleotide ribosomal RNA is filed under the name uncultured bacterium. RNAcentral describes it as "bacterial SSU rRNA". It matches the Rfam family "Bacterial small subunit ribosomal RNA", at positions 388 to 1282 of the family's 1533-position model. The record is from RNAcentral.
CCAGCAACGCCGCGUGAAGGAUGAAAUCCCUCGGGAUGUAAACUUCGCAAGAACGGGAAGAAUAAGUAGGGGACAAUACCCCCUAUGAUGACGGUACCGUUUGUAAGCUCCGGCUAACUCCGUGCCAGCAGCCGCGGUAAUACGGGGGGAGCAAGCGUUGUUCGGAUUUACUGGGCGUAAAGGGCGCGUAGGCGGUCAGCACAAGUCAAUUGUGAAAUCUCCGAGCUUAACUCGGAAAGGUCAACUGAAACUGUGCGACUAGAGUGCGGAAGGGGCAACUGGAAUUCUUGGUGUAGCGGUGAAAUGCGUAGAUAUCAAGAGGAACACCUGCGGCGAAGGCGGGUUGCUGGGCCGACACUGACGCUGAAGCGCGAAAGCCAGGGGAGCGAACGGGAUUAGAUACCCCGGUAGUCCUGGCCUUAAGCGAUGAAUGCUUGGUGUCUGGGGUUAUAAAGUCCCCGGGUGCCGUCGCUAACGCUUUAAGCAUUCCGCCUGGGGAGUACGGUUGCAAGACUGAAACUCAAAGGAAUUGACGGGGACCCGCACAAGCGGUGGAGCAUGUGGUUUAAUUCGACGCAACGCGAAGAACCUUACCUGGGCUAGAAUGCCUCUGACAACCCUAGAGAUAGGGCCUCCAAGGUAAAACUUGGCAGAGUGCAAGGUGCUGCAUGGCUGUCGUCAGCUCGUGUCGUGAGAUGUUGGGUUAAGUCCCGCAACGAGCGCAACCCUUAUCUUUAGUUGCCAGCAUUAAGUUGGGCACUCUAGAGAGACUGCCGUUGACAAAACGGAGGAAGGUGGGGAUGACGUCAAGUCCUCAUGGCCUUUAUGUCCAGGGCUACACACGUGCUACAAUGGCCGGUACAAACCGCCGCAAACUCGCAAGAGGGAGCCAAUCGGAAAAAGC